RNAcentral lists this ribosomal RNA (497 nucleotides) under uncultured bacterium. Its description in RNAcentral is "partial 16S ribosomal RNA". It matches the Rfam family "Bacterial small subunit ribosomal RNA", at positions 28 to 507 of the family's 1533-position model. The record is from RNAcentral.
GAUGAACGCUGGCGGCGUGCCUAAUACAUGCAAGUCGAGCGAACAGACGAGGAUCUUGCUGCACUGACGUUAGCGGCGGACGGGUGAGUAACACGUGGAUAACCUCCCUAUAAGACUGGGAUAACUUCGUAAAACCUGAGCUAAUACCGGAUAAUAUAUUAAGCCGCAUGGUUCAAUAAUACAAGCCAGUUUUGCUGUCACUUAUAAAUGGAUCCGCGCCGCAUUAGCUAGUUGGUAAGGUAACGGCUUACCAAGGCAACGAUGCGUAGCCGACCUGAGAGGGUGAUCGGCCACACUGGAACUGAGACACGGUCCAGACUCCUACGGGAGGCAGCAGUAGGGAAUCUUCCGCAAUGGGCGAAAGCUUGACGGAGCAACGCCGCGUGAGUGAUGAAGGUCUUCGGAUCGUAAAACUCUGUUAUUAGGGAAGAACAAAUGUGUAAGUAACUAUGCACGUCUUGACGGUACCUAAUCAGAAAGCCACGGCUAACUACGUG